Molecule: transfer RNA, 73 nt
Filed under: Deuterodon giton
Lineage: Eukaryota; Metazoa; Chordata; Actinopteri; Characiformes; Acestrorhamphidae
Description: Astyanax giton tRNA-Lys
Rfam family: tRNA
About the family: Transfer RNA (tRNA) molecules are approximately 80 nucleotides in length. Their secondary structure includes four short double-helical elements and three loops (D, anti-codon, and T loops).
Source: RNAcentral
CAUCAGGAAGCUGAAAGGGUUCAGCGUUAGCCUUUUAAGCUAAAAUUUGGUGACUCCCAACCACCCCUCGUGA